Molecule: ribosomal RNA, 442 nt
Filed under: Neocrangon sagamiensis
Lineage: Eukaryota; Metazoa; Arthropoda; Malacostraca; Decapoda; Crangonidae
Description: 12S ribosomal RNA
Source: RNAcentral
AGGUGAAAUUUUAAAUUGUUAUAAGGUCAUUCUUAUUUUUAUAGUCUUUAAAUUAAAAAAAUUAAGAUAUAAACUAGGAUUAGAUACCCUAUUAUACUUUUUAGUUUAAGAAAUGCCUAGGUAGUAACAGAUAUGAGCUUGAAAUCUAAAGAAUUUGGCGGUACUUUAAUCCAAUUAGAGGAACCUGUUGUAUAAACGACAAUCCACGAAGAAUCUUACUUUAAUUUAAAGUUUGUAUACCGCCAUUAUUAGAUGAUUUUAAGAAAAAAGACUCAUAAAAAAUAAAUUUAAUAUAUUAGGUCAAGGCGCAGCUAUAUUAAAGAAAUUAAUGGGUUACAUUUAAAUAGUUAAAACGAAUAGAUAAUUGAAAAUUAAAUUGAAGGUGGAUUUAAUUGUAAUUUUGUUUUAAUAAGGCAAAAUGAUAAUGGCACUAUAGUAUGUA